UCUUUGAUUGGGCGGCGGAACACCGUGCCCACAUCGACGCUUGGCGUACCGCUAGCGCCAACGAACGGUACAUCACAGCGAUUCAUCAGGAUAGACAUUUUCACGAGUACCUCUCUUGGUACCAAAGGACUUAUCGGGUCUUCCUGCGGCCUACGUGGACGGAGGAUGACAUAGUGGAGGCUCCAUCGUCCGGGGAAGACAAUGUGUACAACAAGACCACACGAACGGGGUCUCAAAUGGAGCAAGCUCCCGUGCGGGACUGUAUAUCACGAGAGUUGAUGAGAAAUGUCAAUGAAAUUGGCCAUGCACUUGGUUCCCCGAGCGGUGGUCCUGACACGGAGAGCAUUCUCCGUAACGCUCUCGAGAAGGUGCGCCGACGUUGCAGAAAAAUGGUGGCGAGGCUUGGAUGCAAAUCCGUGGGCCUGGACGUGUACGUCCCAUGUCAUAUCCCACCCCGUGCGAGCGGGACGACGCGCCCGCCCCCGCUCACCUUAGCUCGAUCCUCCGGGGUUGAUCCUACGGCGUCAGCAUCACGUGCUCGCAAAGGCAAGGCGGUGCCACCCCCCCCCCCCGAGUGAGGAUGAGGAGGAAGAAGAAGAGGACGAAGAGAGUGAGAACAACGAUGAGGAGUACACCGGUACAGACGCCGAGGAGAUUGGGAUGUCGUAGCUACCGGAUGCCCCACAAGUCUCGCAACAAACCCAAGCAAGGACUCGGAGGGCCUGUCAAGGCACUCAAAGGUACACACCUGGUUCGCAAGCAGUGCGUCGUCGCACUAGGAAGUAGACAGCUGGGAUUGACUUCGGCCACUACUCGGGAUUGACGUGCUUAUCACUAGCGCUAGUCCAUGUUUUCAGGCAUUUGGACCGUAGAUUCAUCGUAUUUGGACCUGUGAACCAUGAUCGAAUGCUCGACUUGUGUGAACCAUUUCGAGUACUACCAAUUGAUGUGUGAACCAAUGUUGUUUUAUGGUGUAUAUUUAUGCAUGUGGUUGAACUACUUGAGAUUGAUUUGUGAACCAUGAUCCUACUAUCUGUGAGAUUUAGUGUUAUAUUGUUCCUUGUGGC
Long non-coding RNA from Oryza brachyantha (malo sina), 1067 nucleotides. RefSeq lists it as uncharacterized. The transcript is spliced from 4 exons. The record is from RefSeq and is a predicted model, not a curated record. NCBI's taxonomy places the organism in Eukaryota, Viridiplantae, Streptophyta, Magnoliopsida, Poales, Poaceae.